Molecule: long non-coding RNA, 836 nt
Filed under: Olea europaea (common olive)
Lineage: Eukaryota; Viridiplantae; Streptophyta; Magnoliopsida; Lamiales; Oleaceae
Description: long non-coding RNA (OEUR_LNC000285)
Source: RNAcentral
UAUCGUCUUUGAAUGUUUUCUAACUUUGUUUAUUUUGUUUUUACAGAUAACAAGUGCAAGUGAAACAAGUUGAUGUCAAGAUACAUUAGUUAAUGCAAAGAAUAGUUCAACAAGGAGGAUAUUAUUGUGUUGGGGCUGCCUCAGUAUUAUUGGACUUAUUGGACUUGGGCUGUUGGGUUUGUACUUCCGGAUCUUAGCCCAUGACUUGGUAAACCGAGUUUCCUUGAAGUGCAACUUUUGACUUCUUUAAUGGUUGUGAUUUAGUUGUACACGUUGCCAUCUCCUAGCUGUUGGAUUUAUGUGACUCUUGGUGUUGAUACUUAGCCUCAUACGCCUCUAUCCUUUGAUUGUUGGUUGAUAUUUUGAGUUAUUUUUUUGGCUUUUCCUCUGAGUUCUAUACUCUUCUUCUUCGUGUUCAAUCUUUGUAAUCUUUCGAUGAAAUGUUCUUGGUUGUAUUUAAUGUGCAAUCUAAGAGAUUGUGAGGAGCAUAUUAUGUCGUAAUAGUAGAGAGGCGAGAUAAACUUUAGUAAAGAAUCUCUAAUUUCUUCAUACAUUUGCACCUAUUUUUAGUUGAUUCUAUUGGAUCAAAAGCGAUAUCUACUUGUAUAUGCCCAACGCAGUAAUUAGACCGGAGGCUGGACAUUCAGGCCUUUAGGGCUAAAAACAAUUCUCUGUGUUCUCCUUAUUUUGAGUUCUGCAAUUUAUUUUCUUGCAAAUGUUUUUGGUUUAAAUUGGAUUGUAGAAACUGUUUUGGAACCAACAGAUUCAAUGUAUACUCUUGAACGUAAUGGGUUCUUAUAUUUGAUAACAUUAUAUCUAGAUGAUUAUAAUUUAAC